RNAcentral lists this ribosomal RNA (468 nucleotides) under uncultured bacterium. RNAcentral describes it as "partial 16S ribosomal RNA". It matches the Rfam family "Bacterial small subunit ribosomal RNA", at positions 28 to 507 of the family's 1533-position model. The record is from RNAcentral.
GACGAACGCUGGCGGCGUGCUUAACACAUGCAAGUCGAACGGAAAGGCCCUGCUUUUGUGGGGUGCUCGAGUGGCGAACGGGUGAGUAACACGUGAGUAACCUGCCCUUGACUUUGGGAUAACUUCAGGAAACUGGGGCUAAUACCGGAUAGGAGCUCCUGCUGCAUGGUGGGGGUUGGAAAGUUUCGGCGGUUGGGGAUGGACUCGCGGCUUAUCAGCUUGUUGGUGGGGUAGUGGCUUACCAAGGCUUUGACGGGUAGCCGGCCUGAGAGGGUGACCGGCCACAUUGGAACUGAGAUACGGCCCAGACUCCAACGGGAGGCAGCAGUGGGGAAUAUUGCACAAUGGGCGGAAGCCUGAUGCAGCAACGCCGCGUGCGGGAUAACGUCCUUCGGGUUGUAAACCAAUUUCGCCUUUAACGAAGCGUGAGUGACGGUAAUGGGUAAAGAAGCACCGGCUAACUACGUG